ACCGCACCGGAUGGCCUAGGAAGUGCAGAGGCCACCGGUUUUCUUGUUAAUUUAUGGACAGCCUGACAACACCAGAGCCCACAAUGCAACACUCCGCUUCAUCCGAUGCUAAAUAUGAUCCCAUUGAGGAAAGGAGCCGUCAAGUGACCAGAUUUGCCUCGGACCGUUCGCAACCUCUGAUUGGAUCAGCACUAAUCCUCCAGUAUACGUCUCUCUGAUGGAAUUUCCACAGGCCUACCAUCCGACGAUCCUUCAGCUGACCAGGGGGCCAGAGGACGAAGCCAGUCCCCUGGGAUGACCAAACCACCCUUUCUCAGAUACCCAUUUGUUGUACCCACCCCACCUCCUCCUCCUCCUUCCUCCCGAUGGAUGACCCUGCAACCAGCAGGGGUCAGCUGCGCAGAAGGAGCCCCCCACACCACAGCCCUCGGUCCGGGGCCGCAGCGUAAAUCAGCGGCUGUUCAUCGCGAGAACCCUGCCCUGCCCGGGGUCUCAGCCCAGCCUGGCACCAUCUGUCCCAGGACUCUGACGCAGAAGCAGCGCUGCCAAGGUGGGUUCCCACUGACCUGCUGCACCCUCCAGGCCAUAUGGGCCAGACCUGGGACUGGAGACAGAUCCAUCAUACUGGAGUCUGGACAUGGUAGAAGAGGCUUGGUGUACAUCUACUGUAAAUGAACUCACUGAUACAGUGGACAAAUUAAAGGAAUUCCUCUUGCAAUAAAUGCAAUCCAUUACAUCGACACCAUAAAUACACCAACAGCAGUUUGGAUCAUCGUCUCUCUGACACACCGUCUAUAAAAACUGCAAAAUGUAAGUCAAUAUUAAGCUAAUAUUUAUUACAGAUAUUUUAUCAAAUUACAUUAGUGGGUCCAUCCCCAUGUGGGGAUGAUAUUGAUUGGGCUUUCAUUACGGUUAGCCUCAGUGGUGGAAAAUAACUAUGUGGGUUUACUCAUGUACUGUGCUUAAGAAUGAUUUUGAGGUUGUACUUCACAGGCCCUCAGGUUCACAUUGAGUACUUCUUCCACCACUGGUUAGCCUAAAAUACUUAACAUUUUAAACCAACCCUAUUUGUAAACAUACCAUUCCAUUAUGGAAAAAACUAUUCAUAGUUUAAUAAUGUACAUACUUGUAUCAGCUUGUGUUUGUAUAAACUUUAAGUUGGCGUUUUAAUUGGAUGGAUUUAAUUAAAAAUUCAUUCAUAAAUGGCCCUCUGCUGACACACCUGUGCAAUAACAUCUUAAUAGACUCAGACAUAUUGCAUAACAACUUCACCUGUAUAAGAAAGCAAUAACAAAGGGUGGAAAGAGUACUAGAAUGUAAGUACUGUUACUUUACAUAAGUAUUACUGAAGUAGAAGAUUACUUGUAUAAAAAGCGACUUAUGUAGAGAAGCGGCCCCUUUGAAGACAACACAGAGUACAAUAACUGUGAAAGGACCGAUGUGGCAUCGUGAUUGUAACCAUUUCAAUUCAAAGUCCUACCAAUCAUCACUCUGAUGGGACCAUCUUUUGUUUAUAAGAAAGUUUUCUCAGAGACUCUCCUCCUGAUUAGGCCUUAAUUGCACAGCUGUAGGCUACUCUCACAUUCUUGCUUUUCUUGCCAAAAGUAGUUGAGUAGAUCACUUUGUCAGCUAUUUAAGUGAAAGCUAAAUUUCUGAUCUUAGAAUAUACUAGAAACAAUAAAAAGCCUGUCAAUUAGAGCACUUGCAAUUCCACCUCUUGCCAAAACUAGUCACAAUCUAUUAAGGUGACCUGACCGACCCUGUUAUUUUGCUGGAUAACUGCCACAGACUAAAUAGAUGAUGAACUGGUCACACAUGCAAAACAGUCCAACCUUUUAAGUGCAAGACAAGUCUCUACACUCCACCUCAUCACCCUUGACGACUUGACGUCUUUUCCCUCUUCAUAAUAACAGCACCUGGAAUUGUGACACAUAAAUCUUAUCGGCAGAGACAGUCUGCAGGUCCCCGGGCAGUACAGCCCAGCUUAUUGCUUUCUCCCACAGCCCCGACCAUGCUUCUUGCCCCCUUAGGCCUGGCUCUAAUGGGCGAGCAGCAGUCAUAAAGUGGUUGUAUUACUGUUUUCCUUUUUCUAAGCCAGUGACACCAGUUGUUCACCCUCCUCACCAGGGCCUUUUGUGAGGCCUUACAGCUGUCAAUGCCAGGCGGAGGAUGAUUGUAGAAGACGACACACAUUACCUUGAGGUGACACCACAUUCCACUGAAGGCCUGUCUUUGUGAGCUAACAAUAACUUUGCAGCAAAGCAUUAAAAAUCUGCUUUAGCUCUGUGGUGUGUCUGUGUGUUUGGUGUCGUCUCAUUCUUGUGUUGCAUCAAACCUGGAGUAAUGUCUUAAAAAAAAUUCGGGGGAAAAACCAUCUCGCAGAUGAAUGAUAAUUGGGGUAAAGGAUCAAUGUUUGUUAAGACUCCCACCAACGAUUUUUAACGAAUAUUUGUUGUCUUAUUGCUCUCACAGGCUUGAGGAGUGAUUUUUGGCCGCCAUCAGGGUUGAGGGUAGGACAAUAAGACCUUCACAGUGACAACCCCAAGACAAAAAUAGACACGCACAUACACACACACGCACAGUAAAGAGUGUGUCAUUCUGAGAAGUGGGAAAGCACAGACUACAGAACAUUUUGUACUUUUGGCCUCUGGUUUGAUUAGCCAGUCAUUUUAAAGCUGAAAUAAUAAUGAUCUAAUAAAUACAAUUGAGCAAUCGUUUAUAGAGUCAUAAGAAAACUGUAUAAAACACUUUUGUCGCCCUUGAUAACACUGAACUAAAACAUUAGAUAUUGGAUUUAUAUUAAUUUUUUGAAGUUUAUUAAAUAUAUUGGGUGGUUCAGUUUCCCACAAAUUAGCUCUGGGAUUACUCAUGUUAUUGUAUCACUGAUUUGUGUUUUUAGUAAGGCUACAUGUACAAUCAUAAGGAGAAAAUUAAAACUGAAUGGAAAAUUGAUGUUUGUCUUAAGGAGAAUAAUGAAGACAUCUUGUAUUCAUCAGCCCGCUUGCCCAAUUCAAUUUGUCAUAUAAUUUGUGCACAUACUGCCCUCGUGUGUUGAGCCAGUGGUACUGACAUUAUCCUCCACAGCACAGGCAUUUCAUAUGUCUAUUACUAUAGGCAUUAGUCACUGUCAAACAUCACUAAAAUUGAUUUUGAUGUAAAUAAGCAUAACUGAAAAUUGUAACUAUUCUAGUUUCGGUGAAAAUUACAUUUAACACAUUUGACCAACAGGGUGACAGGCCUGUAGAAGGCAUACAAGGGUUACAUACUUGGUAAGGGUUACUUGAAGACACCAAGAAAGGAAUGUACCACAUGACUGACUUGAUCUCAUGUAUGUUUUUAAACAAGUAAAUGCAUUGAAGGCACAAAAUGAGAACUCUUUGCAUCCAUGGCACCCUUUUCUGGCGAUUCCUUUGCUUUGAGCAUAACACAUCACAAGAAUGCCUGUUUUUUUUUUAUUCAUAUAUCUUGAUACCAUGUUA
This is a long non-coding RNA of Siniperca chuatsi (mandarin fish), 3479 nucleotides long. RefSeq lists it as uncharacterized. The record is from RefSeq and is a predicted model, not a curated record. NCBI's taxonomy places the organism in Eukaryota, Metazoa, Chordata, Actinopteri, Centrarchiformes, Sinipercidae. The transcript has 3 exons.